This 83-nucleotide transfer RNA is filed under the name Histiona aroides. RNAcentral's name for it is "tRNA-Leu". It matches the Rfam family "tRNA". From Rfam's summary of the family: Transfer RNA (tRNA) molecules are approximately 80 nucleotides in length. Their secondary structure includes four short double-helical elements and three loops (D, anti-codon, and T loops). Lineage: Eukaryota; Jakobea; Jakobida; Histionidae. The record is from RNAcentral.
GCUCGCAUGGUGAAAUUGGUAGACACAGCAGACUUAAAAUCUGCCCCAUUACUGGGAUGCCGGUUCAAGUCCGGUUGCGGGUA